Molecule: ribosomal RNA, 516 nt
Filed under: uncultured soil bacterium
Lineage: Bacteria
Description: bacterial SSU rRNA
Rfam family: Bacterial small subunit ribosomal RNA
Source: RNAcentral
AGAUUGAACGCUAGCGGGAGUGCUUUACACAUGCAAGUCGAACGGCAGCGCGGACUUCGGUCUGGCGGCGAGUGGCGAACGGGUGAGUAAUAUAUCGGAACGUGCCCAGUAGCGGGGGAUAACUACGCGAAAGCGUGGCUAAUACCGCAUACGCCCUACGGGGGAAAGGGGGGGAUUCUUCGGAACCUCUCACUAUUGGAGCGGCCGAUAUCAGAUUAGCUAGUUGGUGAGGUAAAGGCUCACCAAGGCGACGAUCUGUAGCUGGUUUGAGAGGACGACCAGCCACACUGGGACUGAGACACGGCCCAGACUCCUACGGGAGGCAGCAGUGGGGAAUUUGGACAAUGGGGGAAACCCUGAUCCAGCCAUCCCGCGUGUGCGAGUGAAGGCCGUUCGGGUUGUUAAAGCUACUUUUUGGCAGGGAAGAAACGGCGCCGCCUAAGUCGGGCGUCACUGACGGUACCUGUACCGAGAACUAAGACCACCGGCGUAAACCUACGUCGUCCAACGGCCACG